GACGUAGGGCGCGAGCGUUGUCCGGAUUUAUUGGGCGUAAAGAGCGUGUAGGCGGCCAUACAGGUCAGCUGUGAAAACUCGAGGCUCAACCUCGAGACGUCGGUUGAAACCGUUUGGCUAGAGUCCGGAAGAGGAGAGUGGAAUUCCCGGUGUAGCGGUGAAAUGCGCAGAUAUCGGGAAGAACACCCGUGGCGAAGGCGGCUCUCUGGGACGGUACUGACGCUGAGACGCGAAAGCGUGGGGAGCGAACAGG
This 253-nucleotide ribosomal RNA is filed under the name uncultured bacterium. RNAcentral describes it as "partial 16S ribosomal RNA". It matches the Rfam family "Bacterial small subunit ribosomal RNA", at positions 524 to 776 of the family's 1533-position model. The record is from RNAcentral.